This 1746-nucleotide long non-coding RNA is filed under the name Piliocolobus tephrosceles (Ugandan red Colobus). RNAcentral's name for it is "lncRNA (ENSPTEG00000011321.1)". The record is from RNAcentral. Lineage: Eukaryota; Metazoa; Chordata; Mammalia; Primates; Cercopithecidae.
AAAAAAAAAAAAAAAUGCACAUACAGUGUGAUAAGUCAUUUUUUAUUGAGAACAGUAAUAAUUUAUUAUGUCCCAUAGAUUGUCCUUUUAUCAGUUUUAAUGAUGUUUGGAAAUGUUUUGGUGUUUGUACUACUAAAGAACAAUGCUCCUUAUAUAAUCCGCUACUUAAUUAUGCAGAUGAAGAAACUAAGAGAUGUUUACCAUGCUUAAUUACUGGUUGUAUUAAAUGUAUUAAAAGUGAUGAAAAAAGUAGAAAUAAAUAUUUUUUUAAUGUUACUAGUAAUUUACCAAAUAUAUGUUUAGAAUGUAUGAAAGGAUAUACGCUAUCUGAUGAUAGGACUAACUGUCGUUUGAUUUACAAAGAAAUAAUACUAAAAUAUUGUAAUAUAUUUUUAGUAUUUAGUUUUUUAUUUAUUAUAUUUUGUAUAAUUUAUUAUUAUAAAAAUUCAAACAAAACUAACUUUUUAUUAUUAAAAUGGGUUUUUCAACAUAGAUCUUUAUCAAAAUUUCGAAAUCCCCAAACGAAAAGAAAUUCUUUAUAUCCUUUAAAAUUAGAACUAAGUAAAGAAGAUAUUGGUGGAGUAGGAAUAAUGUUAUAUUUUCGUUUUAUACAUUUUUUAUGUUAUUUAUGUAUAUUUUUAAUUAUUAUUAAUUUAUUCGAAUUAUAUUUACCUCUUAACUAUCUUAUACAGACUUAUCGUAAUAUUGAAACUAUUACUACUUUUGAAAAAAAUUGUUAUAAUUUAAAAAAAUAUAUUUCACAAAAUAUAUCUAAAUUAAUUGAGCUUAAUUCUUUAGAUUGGAUAACGUUAGAUAUUUUUAAUAUGGUAAUCAAGUAUAAAGAAAAUGCUAUUAUUGUUUCAUUUUUUAAAUAUAUUUUUUGUAUGAUUAUUACUUUUGUAUUUAUUUAUAAACAAAAAAAAUUUAGUUAUUAUAAAUUAAAUGAUUCUAAUCAAUUACAAAAAUAUUCAUUAGUUGUAUAUGAUCUACCAAAUAAAAUUUCUGAACAUAAAAUAAAGAAUUUUUUUGAAAAACUAAUUAAAAAAAAAAUUGUUGGUAUAUCACCUAUAUAUGAUUUUUCACAUAAUAAAAAUAAAGUGUUUGAUUUAAUAGAUCAACAUAUAGAUUGGCAAGAUUUUAAAUUAAAAAUAAAUAAAGUUUUGGAUUUGUACAAAGAACAUAAGUUGCAAGUAAAUAUGUUAAACCAAGAUCUUGAACAAAAAAUAGACACUGUUUAUGAUAAAUAUGUUGAUGUUGUAGGUAAUCAUAACAUGAAUAAGGUAAAUUACGAAAAAGUUGAACAAAAUGGUUAUGACCUUAUUCAUCCUAACAUAUACUAUACUGGUACUUAUACCGGUAGUUAUGUCAAAAAAAAAGUUUUAAAAUUAGUUAUGUAACACAAGAAAAUAACUUAAAAGAAAAUGCAGAUAAUAAGGAUACAUGUUAUGAUAUACUUAGCCCGAGUAAAUAUAACUCACUUCAACUUGGUCAUAUUAAAUUUCCUUAUAUUAAAUCUAAUACAGAAACAGACAAAAACCAACAAAGUAAACAAGAAUGUGUUUUUCCUAUAAAGAGAAAUAUGAGCCACAAAAAAAUAAGUUUUAAAAUACUCAAUGAGAAUGGUUCUGAAAAAAAAGGAGAAAAAGAGAACCUUGUUAGUAAUCCUGUUUUUGAGGGUAGUGGUAGUGACAGUAGUAGUAGUAUCGGUAGCAGUAGUAGUAUCGGUAGCAGUAGUAGUAUCGGUAG